CCCUUAGAUGUUCUGGGCUGCACGCGCGCUACACUGAAGCGUUCAACGAGUAUUCACCUUGCCCGGGAGGGUUGGGUAAUCUUUUGAAAACGCUUCGUGAUGGGGAUAGAUUAUUGCAAUUAUUAAUCUUCAACGAGGAAUUCCUAGUAAGCGCGAGUCAUCAGCUCGUGCUGAUUACGUCCCUGCCCUUUGUACACACCGCCCGUCGCUCCUUCCGAUUGAGUGAUCCGGUGAAUAAUUCGGACUGCAGCACUGCUUGGUCUCCAGGCUUUGCAGCGGAAAGUUUAGUGAACCUUAUCACUUAGAGGAAGGAGAAGUCGUAACA
This 325-nucleotide ribosomal RNA is filed under the name uncultured eukaryote. RNAcentral describes it as "partial 18S ribosomal RNA". It matches the Rfam family "Eukaryotic small subunit ribosomal RNA", at positions 1470 to 1796 of the family's 1831-position model. The record is from RNAcentral.